This is a non-coding RNA of Drosophila virilis, 86 nucleotides long. Lineage: Eukaryota; Metazoa; Arthropoda; Insecta; Diptera; Drosophilidae. The record is from Rfam.
UGAAAAUUGAACGCUUAAGUAGUUAAUACAAGGGCGAGUUUUUUCUUGCAUCGCAUUGUGUGACCUACUUAAAUGACAAAUUUUCA